GACGAACGCUGGCGGCGUGCUUAACACAUGCAAGUCGAACGGAAAGGCCCUGCUUUUGUGGGGUGCUCGAGUGGCGAACGGGUGAGUAACACGUGAGUAACCUGCCCUUGACUUUGGGAUAACUUCAGGAAACUGGGGCUAAUACCGGAUAGGAGCUCCUGCUGCAUGGUGGGGGUUGGAAAGUUUCGGCGGUUGGGGAUGGACUCGCGGCUUAUCAGCUUGUUGGUGGGGUAGUGGCUUACCAAGGCUUUGACGGGUAGCCGGCCUGGGAGGGUGACCGGCCACAUUGGGCCUGAGAUACGGCCCAGACUCCUACGGGAGGCAGCAGUGGGGAAUAUUGCACAAUGGGCGGAAGCCUGAUGCAGCAACGCCGCGGGCGGGAAGACGGCCUUCGGGUUGUAAACCGCUUUCGCCUGUGACGAAGCGUGAGUGACGGUAAUGGGUAAAGAAGCACCGGCUAACUACGUG
RNAcentral lists this ribosomal RNA (468 nucleotides) under uncultured bacterium. RNAcentral's name for it is "partial 16S ribosomal RNA". It matches the Rfam family "Bacterial small subunit ribosomal RNA", at positions 28 to 507 of the family's 1533-position model. The record is from RNAcentral.